CGGUCUCCUCCUAAAGAGUAACGGAGGAGCACGAAGGUUGGCUAAUCCUGGUCGGACAUCAGGAGGUUAGUGCAAUGGCAUAAGCCAGCUUGACUGCGAGCGUGACGGCGCGAGCAGGUGCGAAAGCAGGUCAUAGUGAUCCGGUGGUUCUGAAUGGAAGGGCCAUCGCUCAACGGAUAAAAGGUACUCCGGGGAUAACAGGCUGAUACCGCCCAAGAGUUCAUAUCGACGGCGGUGUUUGGCACCUCGAUGUCGGCUCAUCACAUCCUGGGGCUGAAGUAGGUCCCAAGGGUAUGGCUGUUCGCCAUUUAAAGUGGUACGCGAGCUGGGUUUAGAACGUCGUGAGACAGUUCGGUCCCUAUCUGCCGUGGGCGCUGGAGAACUGAGGGGGGCUGCUCCUAGUACGAGAGGACCGGAGUGGACGCAUCACUGGUGUUCGGGUUGUCAUGCCAAUGGCACUGCCCGGUAGCUAAAUGCGGAAGAGAUAAGUGCUGAAAGCAUCUAAGCACGAAACUUGCCCCGAGAUGAGUUCUCCCUGACUCCUUGAGAGUCCUGAAGGAACGUUGAAGACGACGACGUUGAUAGGCCGGGUGUGUAAGCGCAGCGAUGCGUUGAGCUAACCGGUACUAAUGAACCGUGAGGCUUAACCUUACAACGCCGAAG
RNAcentral lists this ribosomal RNA (663 nucleotides) under Escherichia coli. RNAcentral describes it as "partial 23S ribosomal RNA". It matches the Rfam family "Bacterial large subunit ribosomal RNA", at positions 2280 to 2925 of the family's 2925-position model. The record is from RNAcentral. Lineage: Bacteria; Pseudomonadati; Pseudomonadota; Gammaproteobacteria; Enterobacterales; Enterobacteriaceae.